This 551-nucleotide ribosomal RNA is filed under the name uncultured fungus. RNAcentral describes it as "eukaryotic LSU rRNA". The stretch from base 281 to 551 matches the Rfam family "Eukaryotic large subunit ribosomal RNA", at positions 1 to 266 of the family's 3401-position model. The record is from RNAcentral. Lineage: Eukaryota; Fungi.
GAAAUGCGAUAAGUAGUGUGAAUUGCAGAAUUCCGUGAAUCAUCGAAUCUUUGAACGCACAUUGCGCCUCUCGGCAUUCCGGGAGGCAUGCCUGUUCGAGCGUCACCAGAAUCAACUCAAGCACUUUUGCGCGUGGUCAUGGAGGAAGAGUGCGCCCCCGUGGUGGUCUCCCCUCCCAAAAUCAAUGGCGGAGCGUCACUGGAACUCCUCGGCGUAGUAGCAUCGUUCGCCGAUCAUCCCAGUGUCCCUCCCGCCGCACAACCCCCAGAAUUCUCUUGAUUGACCUCGGAUCAGGUAGGGAUACCCGCUGAACUUAAGCAUAUCAAUAAGCGGAGGAAAAGAAACCAACAGGGAUUGCCUUAGUAACUGCGAGUGAAGCGGCAAAAGCUCAAAUUUGAAAUCGGUGUCCACCAAUCGCAUCGAGUUGUAAUUUGGAGGGGCAACUUCGGGGAUGAACCACAUCCUAAGUUCCUUGGAACAGGACGUCAUGGAGGGUGAGAAUCCCGUGUCUUGAUGUCGGGUCAAACCAUGUGAAGUGUCUCCGACNANUC